AGAAAAUUCAUUGGAUUUCAAGGAAUUAAGCAAGUAAAGGUGGUGAAACUUCCGAUAAGGGUAAGGAGAUUGUACUCGAAGACCCAGACUAGGAGUACUUCAACUUCGAUAUUGCUGGGUAGAAAUAUAAUUGCCAUGUCAUGCUGUCG
Non-coding RNA from Theobroma cacao (cacao), 149 nucleotides. The record is from RefSeq and is a predicted model, not a curated record. NCBI's taxonomy places the organism in Eukaryota, Viridiplantae, Streptophyta, Magnoliopsida, Malvales, Malvaceae.